GUGGGGAAUUUUGGACAAUGGGCGCAAGCCUGAUCCAGCCAUUCCGCGUGCAGGAUGAAGGCCUUCGGGUUGUAAACUGCUUUUGUACGGAACGAAAAGCCUCUGGUUAAUACCCGGGGGUCAUGACGGUACCGUAAGAAUAAGCACCGGCUAACUACGUGCCAGCAGCCGCGGUAAUACGUAGGGUGCGAGCGUUAAUCGGAAUUACGGGGCGUAAAGCGUGCGCAGGCGGUGAUGUAAGACAGUUGUGAAAUCCCCGGGCGCAACCUGGGAAGUGGAGUCGGGAGUGCAAGGCUAGGGUGUGUCAGAGGGAGGUGGAAUUCCGCGUGUAGCAGUGAAAUGCGUAGAGAUGCGGAGGAACACCAGUGGCGAAGGCGACUCACUGGCCCAAGACUGACGCUGAGGCGCGAAAGCGUGGGGAGCAAACAGGAUUAGAUACCCGAGUAGUCC
RNAcentral lists this ribosomal RNA (450 nucleotides) under uncultured bacterium. RNAcentral describes it as "partial 16S ribosomal RNA". It matches the Rfam family "Bacterial small subunit ribosomal RNA", at positions 354 to 796 of the family's 1533-position model. The record is from RNAcentral.